This is a long non-coding RNA of Boleophthalmus pectinirostris (great blue-spotted mudskipper), 696 nucleotides long. RefSeq lists it as uncharacterized. The record is from RefSeq and is a predicted model, not a curated record. The transcript has 3 exons. NCBI's taxonomy places the organism in Eukaryota, Metazoa, Chordata, Actinopteri, Gobiiformes, Gobiidae.
GACACAUCCGAGUAUCCUUCACAGCCUUCAGUAUCCCAGCAUGCACUGCGCGUCGGCAGUCAGAUGUUCGAAAACACGGAGCAAAAAGCCCGUCCGGAGAGCAGAGAAAAACAUCCUCCAGUAUGAGGACACAGCACACUGCAGGGGCCACAGAACUGUUGGCUGACAAGAUGCUUGUGAUUCAUAAAAUGGGUCAAAUGCAGAUGACAAAGUAAAGCCAACACUGAGCUGGAGGUGCUGACCCAGACUCCUGCCAACGAUUAGGUUUUCACUCUGCAGGACAGAACUUUGAAUCCAUCAGACGUAAUGCCCAUUCUGCUCUUCCUCCUCCAGAAGACAAGAGACACAUCAGAUUGAGUGGUCCAAGUCCACUAUCCAUGUCUCCAAUUUCCAUGUCCAGAGUCUCUGAGGAGGAGGUCCAAAGUCUUAUAUGAUCUGAACAAGUGUGUGAGACAGAAAUGAAAACAUCUGUUCAUAAGUUUUUCUGAAUGUUUUUCAGUCUGUACUGACAUUUGAUUUAUGGUGAAAUGUGCUGUUUAUUUGGUGUCUCUUUUGAUAGUAACUAAUUACAUGUACUAUAAGAAUGUACUAUUGUACUGCAGAUAAGCUGUGGUGUUCCACAUGAUCAUAUCUGGCAAAGAUAAUUUGUUCAUUUUUGAUUGUCACUUGCUUCAGCAAAAAGGGAACACAAUGAGA